UACGGAAGGCAGCGGUGGGGAAUAUUGCACAAUGGGCGCAAGCCUGAUGCAGCCAUGCCGCGUGUAUGAAGAAGGCCUUCGGGUUGUAAAGUACUUUCAGUCGUGAGGAAGGUGUUAAGGUUAAUAACCUUAGCAAUUGACGUUAGCGACAGAAGAAGCACCGGCUAACUCCGUGCCAGCAGCCGCGGUAAUACGGAGGGUGCGAGCGUUAAUCGGAAUUACUGGGCGUAAAGGGCACGCAGGCGGUUAAUUAAGUUGGAUGUGAAAUCCCCGGGCUUAACCUGGGAAUGGCAUUCAAGACUGGUUAGCUAGAGUCUUGUAGAGGGGGUAGAAUUCCAUGUGUAGCGGUGAAAUGCGUAGAGAUGUGGAGGAAUACCGGUGGCGAAGGCGGCCCCUGGACAAAGACUGACGCUCAUGUGCGAAAGCGUGGGGAGCAAACAGGGAUUAGAUACCCGU
RNAcentral lists this ribosomal RNA (456 nucleotides) under uncultured bacterium. Its description in RNAcentral is "bacterial SSU rRNA". It matches the Rfam family "Bacterial small subunit ribosomal RNA", at positions 340 to 789 of the family's 1533-position model. The record is from RNAcentral.